Molecule: non-coding RNA, 3005 nt
Organism: Paramuricea clavata
Lineage: Eukaryota; Metazoa; Cnidaria; Anthozoa; Malacalcyonacea; Plexauridae
Source: the annotation of a GenBank genome assembly
UGGGUGGUCAUCACUGAGCUAUAAUAUAUCUGGAGGAAGUGCUCCUAUCUCUCUUCAGUCAAGCAAGUGAAGCCAAAAACAUGGCGGAUUUUCAAGGAUUUUCACGUUUGCUGACGCCAGAAUGACGCCACUGGUCCCAAAUCCUCGUGGUAAUUACCACUGAGCAAGGCUCAUUUUGAGCCCGCUACCACUUUCUCAUCCCCCUGAUUUUCACAAAAAUAUUUUAGCUUUUUGUUUUGAAGUUUGCCUCGGUGUUUGCCUUCUCUUCGACAUUUUAACAUUUGUUUCGAGUUGCACAAGUGGUAAGAAUCAUCCUGGCUAGUGAAAGACAGGGAACGAAUCUUCAAACCUCAAGAAAUUUUGGAAAGACGUUAUUUGUAAAGGUAAAAAAAUACUGUUUAUAUGUUCAAUAUUAAUUUGUGAUAGAGUAUGUCAAAACAAAGCGAAAUAAACAGCCCAUUUGUACUGUGUAGUGGACAAUUUUAGCAACUGAUGUAUACAGUUAGGUUGUCCAAAUUAUAUUAAUACGAGAAACAGUCUUCCUCGAAAGAAAAUGGUUGAAAUUUCAGAUUUUAGUUUCAUUUGUUAUUUCAAAUUUUACGAUAUAAAAUGCCAGUCGACCACCAUCUGCUUCAUGAUCAUACUUAUUAAAAUUAAAGUGGUUUCUAUUAUAUUAGUAUACCUAUAGAGGAAGACCUUUUUAAGCCAGAACUAUCAUGGCUUGGCUUUGAAUGAUUUAAUCCAUGUACUUUAUAACUGGCCACUGAUGGCAAUGAAAUUAUAAUGACUAAUGUGUAGAAUUAUCAAGUCUAGAUCCAAAAAUUGGCAGUUUCAUAUAUAAGAUCAGGCAUAUAUAAGAUCAAAGCUAGUUUCAUAUAUAAGAUCAGGUUUAGAGGCCUGUAGCAUUUUCUCUAGAAAUUGCAUGAGUAAAAUCAAUUUCAUAAAAUACCCGUUGAGCCGCAAUGCGCCCUAUUUAUUUUUUUACUUGCCAGAUGAUUUUACUUGUCAAUGGGGAAGCUCUGUACAUAGCUUAUCGGUUAACCAAAAAAAACUGACAAUGUCUCUAGUUAACCUAUUGAGCCGCAAUGCGCCCCAGUGUGCCCUACUUUUUUUUUGCUUUCUAAAGCCAGACAAUAUCACUCGUCAAUGGGGAAGCUCUGCAGCUUAGAUGAUACUUGAUGUUGGUAAUUCAUGUAUUUUUGGAGGAAAAUAUUUUAGACAGUGGUUGUUUGCCUGGCACCAAACCCCAAUAUUUACAUGCUAUUUGUCUAAGUGAACUAUUUUCCUCAUUCUUUCAACAUGCCAAAGUGAUAUAAAAUAAAUUUCAGUUGAAUUCAAGCAAGUCCUCGGGCCCGUAAGUUGUCAACUGACGACUAUCACCUUCAUUGUUAGUUAAGUAUAUAUCUGCUUAUGUCCUGGGUUCAAAUGAGUGGAAUUUCAAGAGCAUUCUGACUGGCUUUGUGCAAACAGGGGGCCUUACCGGUUAGGAUGAGGGCCAGUUGAGGUGUUAGGGUUGGGUGCAGGCAAGGUUCAUGUAAACUUAUUGUUAGCAAGAAUCAGAGAAGGAUUUUCAUAUUUUUGUUCGGGGGGGAUAAAUAUCUGGGGGGUGAUGCUGCUUGCUUUGGCCGGGGCCUGGUGGCAACGCCUGGAAAGGCCAAGGAAAAAGUUUAACAAAAUUUGUUUUCUAUGUCUGCAUGGCAAGAUUGAGACCAUAAUAUUGAUAAUUUUACAAAUUUAGUAGUAAGAAUAAUCAAAUAUGAAACCAUCAAAUCAAAAUAUAUAUAAUUUGUGGGGGUGCAAAAACUUUGGGGGGCAGUGCCAAAUGCCUCUUGGGGGGGGGGAGGGGGUUGCAAAUCAUUUCUGGGGGUAUGCCCCCCCCCAGAAAAUCUGUGCCUGGCAAGAAUGUUAUGUGUACAUAAUCAUGUGUAAUGUUGUUUGGAUUAAUUGCAUUUAAAACGUUGGAAUCCAGUGUCGAACAAUAACCACAACAAUUAUUAUAUAAAGUAUUUGGUUGUUUUAGUGUAAUAUUAAUUUCUCACAUAUUUUUUUCAGAAAUAAAGCACCAUUGAGCAACUUGUUGGGAAAGAGGAGUCACAAACUGUUGAUGAAUAUAUUUAAUUAACUACACAUAAAAUACAAUUUUAUUAACAGUAUAUUGAUUUAUGGGUUUAUUAGACCACAUUAUUUUCAUAUUAUUAAUAAUUAAAAAUAAAAUUAACAAAUAAAUUACAAAAUCAAUGUGAAAAUAUUGCAAUAAUCAAUUAAAAUGUCAAACCAGCCAAUUGUUUCAAAUUAUAGCUGUUAUUGUUAUUGAAUAUGUCUAUGCUAUGGACCAGUGGUAUCUGCAUUAUUUUAACAUAGAGACAAGGCUAUAGGGUCAUGUUUUGUGUUUUUUACCCUUUAGCCUCGUUUUCAUUCGUACUUCCACUGAGAUACCGCUGGUUCUCGCCACAGCGGGUAUUCAAAUACGAUAACAGCUAUUAUGCAUUUGUGAGUGUAACCUAACCCCCUCCCCCCCUGAGAGAACAAGAGAGUUGCUGUGGGCCCCUAUUAUCCCUUUUGAUAAGUCAGGCAAUCCACCACAUAAUUUUCCUUUCAAAUGCCAGACGAAUAUACUUGUCAAUGCAAGGGGAGAGCUCUGGCACUCUAUGGGUUGACCAGUAUAUGCCUAUGCAUCCUGUUAAGCCUUUGAUAAGUCUGAAUGCAACACAAUGCACCCUACUUUAUUAUUCUGUCUAAUGGCAAAUUUUAUUUGUGAAGGGGAGAUUGCUGAAUGAGUUAACCCUUUAAUUAAGUGGCAAUGCACCCUGAUGUGCCCUACUUUUAGUAUUUUACUCUGUCUUAUGCCAAAGUAUUUUACUCUGUCUAAUGCCAGAUGAUUUUACUCAUCAAGUGGAGAGUGCUGCCCCUCGAUGGAUGAAUGGAAUAUUAUACUAAUUGCUUUGAACAAAGGUGAUUCCCUUUGUGGCAUAAAAUUUAACCAGGGCAUUCUUCAAGUUUUCAAC